UACGGGGGGGGCAAGCGUUGUUCGGAAUUCCUGGGCGUAAAGAGCGCGCAGGCGGUUUGGUAAGUCGGAUGUGAAAUCCCGGGGCUCAACCCCGGACCUGCAUCCGAUACUGCCCGACUAGAGGUAGGUAGGGGAGAUCGGAAUUCCUGGUGUAGCGGUGAAAUGCGCAGAUAUCAGGAGGAACACCGGUGGCGAAGGCGGAUCUCUGGGCCUUACCUGACGCUCAGGCGCGAAAGCUAGGGGAGCGAACAGG
This 253-nucleotide ribosomal RNA is filed under the name uncultured bacterium. RNAcentral's name for it is "partial 16S ribosomal RNA". It matches the Rfam family "Bacterial small subunit ribosomal RNA", at positions 524 to 776 of the family's 1533-position model. The record is from RNAcentral.